GGGCUAUUAACUUAGUUGGUUGAGCGUGGUACUAAUAAUGCCAGGGUGACAGGUUUGACCCCUGUAUGGACCA
This is a non-coding RNA of Sphaerobolus stellatus SS14, 73 nucleotides long. NCBI's taxonomy places the organism in Eukaryota, Fungi, Basidiomycota, Agaricomycetes, Geastrales, Sphaerobolaceae. The record is from Rfam.